GUCACAAGCUAUAUCCUCAGACACUGCUGGCUGCAUGAAGGACUUGGAUGCAGCCCCAGUGCCAGAGUCCACGGUCUCUCUCUAUAUGAAAUAAAUGUAUUUCCUGAUUGCAUUUCCUCUAGUUUUAUUGAAAGUCACAACACUGGUAUAAAGCAGGCUACUCCAGUGUGAAUUGCCCCCCUUCUUGCACUCUUGCCACGGGGCAGGAAGGGCUGCAGCCAUCUGGCAAGUGCACUGGGGAUGUUUACCUGGUCCUUCUCUCUCAGUCCAGAUCUUUGUGGUGAUUUACCCAGGAUUGCCAUGGAAAGGCAAAAUGUGUUGGCUCUGAGACCAAAGCCUGGCUGGGUUUAAUAAGGUCUAGCACCGGGAGUCUGAAAUGUCUUGCUCCAACCGGUUAGGCAGGGUUAACCUGACAGCGUGAGUUUAUCCUGUCACUUUGGCAAGGUUCUCCCUUCUGUUCUUCUCUGGGCAUAAAUCCUAUUUUGCAUAAAUGCAGAGCGUGAAGUUACAGGUGGAUCUUUGUAUUUAGUCUUUCUUCUGUCUCCUGUUGUGGUGUUAAGUUCUUACAUUUUGUUUCAUUCURUUUUUCCCCUUUUUUCUUCAAAUAACACCAUAUUUGAUUGCUGGCCAAUUCAUAAGAGUUUCAAAUACCCUACCAACAAUUUACAGUGUCAUUUACAACUACCUCACUUAUCUGUCUCCCACAGAUCUUCUAAGCCCUUUCUUCUGGCUAGAUUCCCAAAGGAACUGAAGUCUCCGGUGCACGGCUGCCUCUCUGCGACCAAGUCCAAAAGGAAAAGCUACAAAACACUUGCCCAGCCCUGGAGGUCCACAAAUUCCCCAGGCUUUCCCACAGGUCCUCAAGUGGCAUUGGGGGUCAAUCAGCCACAACCUCUGCUUCAUCCUGGAAAGAGUGGCUUUGUUUCAUGGGCAAACAAGUCAUCCAGACCUGAGAUGGAAUACGUGUAA
RNAcentral lists this long non-coding RNA (969 nucleotides) under Apteryx rowi (Okarito brown kiwi). Its description in RNAcentral is "lncRNA (ENSARWG00000008788.1)". The record is from RNAcentral. Lineage: Eukaryota; Metazoa; Chordata; Aves; Apterygiformes; Apterygidae.